CUGGGCGUAAAGCGGGCGCAGACGGUUACUUAAGCAGGAUGUGAAAUCCCCGGGCUCAACCUGGGAACUGCGUUCUGAACUGGGUGACUAGAGUGUGUCAGAGGGAGGUAGAAUUCCACGUGUAGCAGUGAAAUGCGUAGAGAUGUGGAGGAAUACCGAUGGCGAAGGCAGCCUCCUGGGAUAACACUGACGUUCAUGCCCGAAAGCGUGGGUAGCAAACAGGAUUAGAUACCCUGGUAGUCCACGCCCUAAACGAUGUCGAUUAGCUGUUGGGCAGCAUGACUGCUUAGUAGCGAAGCUAACGCGUGAAAUCGACCGCCUGGGGAGUACGGUCGCAAGAUUAAAACUCAAAGGAAUUGACGGGGACCCGCACAAGCGGUGGAUGAUGUGGAUUAAUUCGAUGCAACGCGAAGAACCUUACCUGGUCUUGACAUGUACGGAACCCUCCAGAGACGGAGGGGUGCCUUCGGGAGCCGUAACACAGGUGCUGCAUGGCUGUCGUCAGCUCGUGUCGUGAG
Molecule: ribosomal RNA, 518 nt
Filed under: uncultured bacterium
Lineage: Bacteria
Description: bacterial SSU rRNA
Rfam family: Bacterial small subunit ribosomal RNA
Source: RNAcentral